AUGUGUAUUUAAAUCCACACAGAUAUGUCUUGUCGAUCUCGUCUGGCCACCCUCAAUGAAAAGUUGACAGCGUUGGAGAGAAGGAUUGAAUACAUAGAGGCCAGAGUGACAAAAGGGGAAACCUUGACCUAGGACUCAUCAUGGGGAUUCCCAACAUCCUGGAGUCAUCCACCCUCCACCCUGGAUUUUUGGACUAUGUGUGCUGGACUCAACCUUCCUUUUUUUUCUUAUGUGGACCAUUUUUAUAUCAUGCAGCUGUUUUGUCUUAUCACACAUUUGUAUAGACUUUGUUGGUAUCAGUGACUCAAGAAUCAUCUUUACUUCAAAACAAAACUAAGCUCUUUAAGUAUAUGUUUCAGAAAAAAAGGUUGUGGAGCUCAACUAUGGAUCUGCUAUUACCAUUAUUUAUACAAUGUCAUUAUCAAAUCAAAGAUUUAUGAAAAAGGGGAACAUUCCUUUGUGCCAAGUUGAACAAGUAAAUGUAAUCACUUUUAUUAACAAAAAAACAGAGCUUCUUGUACAGUAAACUCGUUGGUGAUGUUACAGAGAUUAAAUACUGAAAUAAAGAAUAAUCAAUAA
Molecule: long non-coding RNA, 579 nt
Organism: Cololabis saira (Pacific saury)
Lineage: Eukaryota; Metazoa; Chordata; Actinopteri; Beloniformes; Belonidae
Exons: 2
Source: RefSeq, a predicted model, not a curated record